AGCGAGUAGGGGAAUCUUCCACAAUGGGCGAAAGCCUGAUGGAGCAACGCCGCGUGUGUGAUGAAGGGUUUCGGCUCGUAAAACACUGUUGUAAGAGAAGAAUGACAUUGAGAGUAACUGUUCAAUGUGUGACGGUAUCUUACCAGAAAGGAACGGCUAAAUACGUGCCAG
Molecule: ribosomal RNA, 171 nt
Filed under: uncultured bacterium
Lineage: Bacteria
Description: partial 16S rRNA
Rfam family: Bacterial small subunit ribosomal RNA
Source: RNAcentral